This 328-nucleotide long non-coding RNA is filed under the name Brassica napus (rape). Its description in RNAcentral is "long non-coding RNA (BNAP_LNC009475)". The record is from RNAcentral. Lineage: Eukaryota; Viridiplantae; Streptophyta; Magnoliopsida; Brassicales; Brassicaceae.
AAAGUGACGGGUGUUACAUUUUGGUAUCAGAGCUAUUUAUUUAUCGUAACAUUUUAUUAUGUAAAUCGGGGUGUCACAAUUUGGUAUCAGAGCUAUUUAUUUAUCGUAACAUUUUAUUAUGUAAAUCGGGGUGUCACAAUUUGGUAUCAGAGCUAUUUAUUUAUCGUAACAUUUUAUUAUGUAAAUCGGGGUGUCACAAUUUGGUAUCAGAGCUAUUUAUUUAUCGUAACAUUUUAUUAUGUAAAUGUGACGGGUGUCACAGGUUUAUACUCGUAGACAGAAGAAGCAGAAUAACUUGGAAGAGAAUAAGAAAUGAAGCAAGACGUGG